CACGUAAGGGGCAAGCGUUGUUCGGAUUUAUUGGGCGUAAAGGGCGUGUAGGCGGCAGUGCAAGUCUGGUGUGAAAUACUUCGGCUCAACCGGAGAGACGCGCUGGAAACUGUGCUGCUUGAGUUUAGGAGGGGGAGCUGGAAUUCCUGGUGUAGGGGUGAAAUCUGUAGAGAUCAGGAAGAACACCGGAGGCGAAGGCGAGCUCCUGGCCAUAGACUGACGCUGAGGCGCGAAAGCGUGGGGAGCGAACAGG
RNAcentral lists this ribosomal RNA (253 nucleotides) under uncultured bacterium. RNAcentral's name for it is "partial 16S ribosomal RNA". It matches the Rfam family "Bacterial small subunit ribosomal RNA", at positions 524 to 776 of the family's 1533-position model. The record is from RNAcentral.